This 533-nucleotide ribosomal RNA is filed under the name Navicula brockmannii. Its description in RNAcentral is "eukaryotic LSU rRNA". It matches the Rfam family "Eukaryotic large subunit ribosomal RNA", at positions 43 to 651 of the family's 3401-position model. Lineage: Eukaryota; Bacillariophyta; Bacillariophyceae; Naviculales; Naviculaceae. The record is from RNAcentral.
UAAUUAAGCGGAGGAAAAGAAACUAACCAGGAUUCCCUCAGUAAGGGCGACUGAAGCGGGAAUAGCUCACGUUGUGAAUCAGCGCCUCGGCGCCGAAUUGUGGUCUGUAGACUCUUGCGUUACCGGCCGGGCUAAGUUCCUUGGAACAGGGCAGCUGAGAGGGUGAGACUCCCGUGUGCCCGGCCUUCGGAGCAAGUGUCGAGGAGUCGAGUUGUUUGGGAUUGCAGCUCAAAGCGGGUGGUAAAUUCCAUCUAAGGCUAAAUAUUGGUGGGAAACCGAUAGCGUACAAGUACCGUGAGGGAAAGAUGCAAAGAACUUUGAAAAGAGAGUUAAAGAGUACCUGAAAUUGCUGAAAAGGAAGCGAAGGAAACCAGUGCCUGCCGUGUCAUACUUUCCCGCCUGCUUGCGGUCGGGACGCUGUGACCGGCGUUGUCACGCUUGGUCGGAUAAUGCGGACUCCGGUGGAGGGAGUUGACCUCUGCACAUUGCGCGUUAUGUAACUGAGUUGUGACGAAAUGGUUUUCUUUCCCCCG